Long non-coding RNA from Arvicola amphibius (Eurasian water vole), 953 nucleotides. RefSeq lists it as uncharacterized. The transcript is spliced from 3 exons. The record is from RefSeq and is a predicted model, not a curated record. NCBI's taxonomy places the organism in Eukaryota, Metazoa, Chordata, Mammalia, Rodentia, Cricetidae.
UCUGUGAGUGUGGUUGCAUUAGCACUUACUAAUUUAGUAACUUUAUUUUCGGCUGGAAGCAGGAGACAAAUGAAGACCAUGGCAAAUUCGAUUGCUAAUUUGCUAAAACCCACCCUGACAGAGCAGAUGGCAUGUAACAAAACAUUUCAAGCACAUGGACCUAUUUGGCAGAGGAUUGUGGGAUUGCAGAAGGAAAAGUUUUGGUAAAGGAGGCAGAGGUUUGAGCUGGUUAGCUUGCUGAUUUGAAGUCUGGAGAAUUUUAGGAUCUGCCGCCUUUGGGCAAAUUUCUUCCAUCUCAGCCGCACCCAGCAUGUGGGCUUAACAAAAUAAAAGUUUCAUUUUCCCAUUGGUGAACAGCUCGCUUUCUCUGAACAGAAGACAAAGAACUUCUGUUGCCUAAAAUCAAUUUUCAGAGUGCUUCAGUUAAAAAAUAAAUAAAAAGUGAGCAAACAGAGCUCUGAUUAUCAAAACUCUGAGACCAAGGGCUCCCCUGACAGACGCGUCCCCACUCUGAGGUGGCAUGUGGUGAACCGCUCUGCGCAACAGGAGCUGCAGCCCGGCAGCUGCUUUACCUUUCACACGGAAUUCCAGCGGGAGAUCUGGAGGAAUGACUGCCGGCCGGCUUCUGUCGUUCUGCACCGGGAGAAUCCACACAAGUGAUCAGAGUGAUCCUCAAUUGCAUCAGAAAGCCAACUGAGCCAGGCACCAAGAAAAGCCAGUGAGCAGUGGUCCUCCAAGCUCUGAUUCACUUCCUGCCUUGAGUAUCUGUCCCGCCUUCUCUUGAUGAUGGACUCUUACUUGUGAAGGGGGCUAUCAGAUGCAAGCUUUUGAAAGAAAACUGGGAUCAAUGGCCCUGCUACUGAGACUCUGACAGUACUGAGGCUGAGUUCAGCGUGACUGAAAGAUUGUUGUCUAGUUCAAAGAUGUUUCAAAUGGCCGCAACUUCCAUCCUA